This is a non-coding RNA of Globicatella sp. HMSC072A10, 173 nucleotides long. The record is from Rfam. Lineage: Bacteria; Bacillati; Bacillota; Bacilli; Lactobacillales; Aerococcaceae.
GUCGUCGUGAGGCGGAAUCUGAAGGAAGCCUAAGGCAAACUCCUGCACCGACGAAUAGAAACUUGAUAGAAGGUCUAACCAUAAGGAUAAGCUUGCCCAACAUAGUGAAGCCCAAUACUGCACGGAUUAUGGUGGGAUAAAUCAAGCGGUGAAAUGGGAGGAUGGUUAAAGCA